This 254-nucleotide ribosomal RNA is filed under the name uncultured bacterium. RNAcentral's name for it is "partial 16S ribosomal RNA". It matches the Rfam family "Bacterial small subunit ribosomal RNA", at positions 524 to 776 of the family's 1533-position model. The record is from RNAcentral.
UACGUAGGGGGCGAGCGUUGUCCGGAAUCAUUGGGCGUAAAGAGCUCGUAGGCGGUUCAGUAAGUCAGGUGUGAAAGCUCCGAGCUCAACUCGGAGAGGCCACCUGAUACUGCUGUGACUAGAAUCCAGUAGGGGAGUGUGGAACUCCUGGUGUAGCGGUGAAAUGCGCAGAUAUCAGGAAGAACACCAGCGGCGAAGGCGGCACUCUGGGCUGGAAUUGACGCUGAGGAGCGAAAGUGUGGGGAGCGAUCCGG